RNAcentral lists this ribosomal RNA (253 nucleotides) under uncultured bacterium. RNAcentral's name for it is "partial 16S ribosomal RNA". It matches the Rfam family "Bacterial small subunit ribosomal RNA", at positions 524 to 776 of the family's 1533-position model. The record is from RNAcentral.
GACGAACCGAGCGAACGUUGUUCGGAAUCACUGGGCUUAAAGGGCGCGUAGGCGGGCUAUCAAGUCUGGGGUGAAGUGCCACGGCUCAACCGUGGAACUGCCUCAGAUACUGACGGCCUCGAGGGAGGUAGGGGCAUGCGGAACUGUAGGUGGAGCGGUGAAAUGCGUUGAUAUCUACAGGAACUCCGGUGGCGAAAGCGGCGUGCUGGACCUCUUCUGACGCUGAGGCACGAAAGCGUGGGGAGCAAACAGG